UACCUUUCGACCAAAACGACCAGAGCGACCAAUGCGAUGAAUGUACAGCUCUCUAUUGUUUGGAAGGUCAUAAUUAAUCACCAGAGACACCUGAAAUCGAAAUAGUAAGCAAAGUAUGAAGGAUAAUACAGUAAAUCUCUAUUGUUUGGAAGGUCAUAAUUAAUCACCAGAGACACCUGAAAUAGAAAUAGUAAGCAAAGCAUGAAUGAUAAUACAGCAACAUCUUUAUAAACAAGGACGGUAUAGCAGAAAGAUUCUCCUAGAUGUGGCAGCCUAAAGAGGCGAACAAACAAGGAUACUCAGACGAGAAUGUGUUUGCCACUGUAGGUCCGAAUAUCAAGUAUGAACUAAGUCAACAUUCUAGCUAUUGUUGCAUUUGUCGCUCCAUUCU
This 391-nucleotide long non-coding RNA is filed under the name Nicotiana benthamiana. Its description in RNAcentral is "long non-coding RNA (NBEN_LNC037415)". Lineage: Eukaryota; Viridiplantae; Streptophyta; Magnoliopsida; Solanales; Solanaceae. The record is from RNAcentral.